This 235-nucleotide ribosomal RNA is filed under the name uncultured Actinomycetales bacterium. Its description in RNAcentral is "partial 16S ribosomal RNA". It matches the Rfam family "Bacterial small subunit ribosomal RNA", at positions 96 to 334 of the family's 1533-position model. The record is from RNAcentral. Lineage: Bacteria; Bacillati; Actinomycetota; Actinomycetes; Actinomycetales.
UGGCGAACGGGUGAGUAACACGUGGGUGAUCUGCCCUGCACUCUGGGAUAAGCCUGGGAAACUGGGUCUAAUACCGGAUAGGACCAUGCUUUAGUGUGUGUGGUGGAAAGUUUUUUCUGUGUAGGAUGAGCCCGCGGCCUAUCAGCUUGUUGGUGGGGUAAUGGCCUACCAAGGCGGCGACGGGUAGCCGGACUGAGAGGUUGGUCGGCCACAUUGGGACUGAGAUACGGCCCAG